CCUACGGGAGGCAGCAGUGGGGAAUGUUGCGCAAUGAUCGUAAGAGUGACGCAGCGACGCCGCGUGAAUGACGAAGGCCUUCGGGUCGUAAAGUUCUUUCGACAGGGAAGAAAAUGCCUAUAAGUAACUGUGUAUGUAUUGACGGUACCGGUAGAAGCAGCCCCGGCUAACUCCGUGCCAGCAGCCGCGGUAAUACGGAGGGGGCGAGCGUUGGUCGGAGGGACUGGGCGUAAAGAGCACGUAGGCGGUGUUGUAAGUCAUGAGUCAAAGACUAGAGCUCAACUUUAGUACGGCUAGUGUUACUCUCAUACUAGAGUAUCAGAUCGGCUUGCCGAAUUCCUGGUGUAGCGGU
This 352-nucleotide ribosomal RNA is filed under the name uncultured bacterium. RNAcentral's name for it is "partial 16S ribosomal RNA". It matches the Rfam family "Bacterial small subunit ribosomal RNA", at positions 338 to 682 of the family's 1533-position model. The record is from RNAcentral.